This is a long non-coding RNA of Oreochromis niloticus (Nile tilapia), 1082 nucleotides long. RefSeq lists it as uncharacterized. The record is from RefSeq and is a predicted model, not a curated record. The transcript has 3 exons. NCBI's taxonomy places the organism in Eukaryota, Metazoa, Chordata, Actinopteri, Cichliformes, Cichlidae.
UUCUUUUAAUGACAUCGUUAACAUUUCUCAACAAAAACACAUGAAAGUAACACUGAUAAUUCAACAAUAAAAUCGCUUCAUUUUCCAAAGUGAUUCACGAUCUGAAAGUGCGCAGAUUUAACGUACAUAAUCCUUGGUUGGGUUUAUUAUUUUUAUUUCACACGUAAAACUCAUUUAUAGUUUUAUUCACCACUCCUGUUAGUUUUGGAUGCGCUCGGCUCCAACCAAUCAGACGCAACCGGUGUAAGCAAAGGAUGAUGGGAGAACGGAGAGACCCGUUUAUAAGAAUAAGAAAAGGAGGCGGAAUUGAUUGAUUCAAAUGCAGAGGGGACACACUUGUCUAAUUUAUUGUACGUAGUAAACGUUAUAUUAUUUGAUAUAUUUAUUAUAAAUUUUAUAUAUCUGUAUAUAUGUUUCAGUAAGUAAAUAUUCUUCAAUCUCUUUUUUCCCCCAUUUUCCGCAGAUCAGCAUCAAUGUCCACGUGAAGAACCUAGUUAUGUUGCCAGUGUCAACCCAACAAAAGGCACUUUCACAAUAUAUAUAAGAAGUGUAUGGAACUGAGGUGCUUCUCAGGAGCUGCUUCAGUUGUUGGAGGAUGGAGAAGAGGACGCAGCCAUGACUUGUGAGACGGCGUCUGAGUCAGCUACUACUCACUAGGAGAUCAGAAACAUGGUGUCCUUGCAAAAGUGGAAAGAGGCCAGGCCUUGUCUUAUAGACAAUAUGUUAGCUACUCUGGAUCCACUGUCACACCGUGUGUGUCAGUGUGGCAAACAAGUAGUUGUGAGGUGUCUGGACUGCCUGCCUCUUCCAUUCCUUUGUGCUGAGUGUGAUAUUGCAGUUCACACACACUUUGUCCUGCACAACAGAGAGGCAGUAACAAGAGGGUUUUUGCAGCCUUCAUCAGAGUUUCACAAGCCAAUAGGUACGGUUUUUAAUCCUAUGCAUUUCUUGCUAUGUACUAUGAGUGGGUGCUGUUAUUGUAUCAUGUAUUGUGUAUCAUUUAAUUUCCAAUUCUUUUUAUAUAUAUUGUGUGUUUUUAAUGUUAGUUCGGCUGUUGCCUGUGCAAAGGCCAGACCAUGUGU